This 356-nucleotide ribosomal RNA is filed under the name uncultured bacterium. RNAcentral describes it as "bacterial SSU rRNA". It matches the Rfam family "Bacterial small subunit ribosomal RNA", at positions 29 to 409 of the family's 1533-position model. The record is from RNAcentral.
AACGAACGCUGGCGGCAUGACCUAACACAUGCAAGUCGAACGAGCCCUUCGGGGGCUAGUGGCGCACGGGUGCGUAACGCGUGGGAAUCUGCCCUUAGGUUCGGAAUAACAGUUAGAAAUGACUGCUAAUACCGGAUAAUGACUUCGGUCCAAAGGAUUUAUCGCCUAGGGAUGAGCCCGCGUAGGAUUAGCUUGUUGGUGAGGUAAGAGCUCACCAAGGCGACGAUCCUUAGCUGGUCUGAGAGGAUGAUCAGCCACACUGGGACUGAGACACGGCCCAGACUCCUACGGGAGGCAGCAGUGGGGAAUAUUGGACAAUGGGCGAAAGCCUGAUCCAGCAAUGCCGCGUGAGUGAU